CACCUCUUGUUACACAAAAUAUAAGAGGCCCCGCCUGCCCUGUGACAAUAAGUUUAACGGCCGCGGUAUUUUAACCGUGCGAAGGUAGCGUAAUCACUUGUCUUUUAAAUGGAGACCAGUAUGAAUGGCAUCACGAGGGCUUAACUGUCUCCCCUCUCCAGUCAAUGAAAUUGACCUUCCCGUGCAGAGGCGGGAAUAUUAAUAUAAGACGAGAAGACCCUGUGGAGCUUUAGACCUAAAAUAAACCACGUCUAGUAUACUGAAAUACCAGCAAAAGGCUAGUGGUUACAUAUUGAAGUGUCUUUGGUUGGGGCGACCGCGGGGUAAAACACAACCCCCUUGUGGACUGGGGAUAUUAUCCCUAAUACUCAGAGCCUCUACUCCAAGUAACAGAAAUUCUGACUUUCUGAUCCGGUAUUACCGAUCAACGAACCGAGUUACCCCAGGGAUAACAGCGCAAUCCCCUCUCAGAGCCCUUAUCGACGAGGGGGUUUACGACCUCGAUGUUGGAUCAGGACAUCCUAAUGGUGCAGCCGCUAUUAAGGGUUCGUUUGUUCAACGAUUAAAGUCCU
Molecule: ribosomal RNA, 572 nt
Filed under: Lepidion lepidion (Mediterranean codling)
Lineage: Eukaryota; Metazoa; Chordata; Actinopteri; Gadiformes; Moridae
Description: partial 16S ribosomal RNA
Rfam family: Bacterial large subunit ribosomal RNA
Source: RNAcentral